Molecule: ribosomal RNA, 550 nt
Filed under: Oxymeris areolata
Lineage: Eukaryota; Metazoa; Mollusca; Gastropoda; Neogastropoda; Terebridae
Description: partial 12S ribosomal RNA
Source: RNAcentral
CACCAAGAGGUUGAGUCAUAUAAUUGAUGGUAAAAAGAUAGUUAGGCAAAUGAAGAUAUAGGUUAUUGAAUGUAGCGCAUAGAGGUAAAAUUUAAGUGCGAUUAUAUAGUUUAGAAAUAACUUUAGAGCUGAAUCUGUGAAAUCCUUGGGGGAAACUGGGAUUAGGUACCCCAUUAUUCUCGGAUGUAAAUAGAAAAUGUCUACCGGAGUACUAUGAAUAAUAUAUAAUUUAAAACUCAAAGAACUUGGCGGUGUUUUAGACCACUUAGGGGAACCUGUCUCGUAAUCGACAGUCCACGUUGCACCUGACCUUUUUUUGUUUUCAGUUUGUAUACCGUUGUCGUCAGGUAACUUUUUAGAAAGUAGAAGUUGGCUAUAGAAAUUUAGUGAUUUAGUACGUCAAAUCAAGGUGCAGCUAAUGAGAGGGGGAGGAUGGGUUACAGUUAUACAGUUAUAAUAACGGAUGUCUACAUGAAAGUGUGGGUUGUGAAGGAGGACUUAGAAGUAAAUUGGAUUAGGAAAACAGUAUGAAUGAGGCUCUGAAACGUGU